RNAcentral lists this ribosomal RNA (464 nucleotides) under uncultured bacterium. Its description in RNAcentral is "partial 16S ribosomal RNA". It matches the Rfam family "Bacterial small subunit ribosomal RNA", at positions 28 to 507 of the family's 1533-position model. The record is from RNAcentral.
GACGAACGCUGGCGGCGUGCUUAACACAUGCAAGUCGAGCGGAAAGGCCCUUUCGGUGGUACUCGAGCGGCGAACGGGUGAGUAACACGUGCGUAAUCUUCCCUUCACUUGGGGAUAACCUCCGGAAACGGUGGCUAAUACCCGAUACGACCAUUCUUCUCAUGAGGUGGGGGUGGUAGGUUGUGCGGUGGGUGAUGUGCUCGCGGCCUAUCAGCUUGUUGGUUGGGUAAUGGCCUACCAAGGCUUCGACGGGUGGCCGGCCUGAGAGGGUGACCGGCCACAAUGGGACUGAGACACGGACCAGAAUCCUACGGGAGGCAGCAGUGGGGAAUAUUGGACAAUGGGCGGAAGCCUGAUCCAGCAACGCCGCGUGAGGGAUGACGGCCUUCGGGUUGUAAACCUCUUUCACAUGUGACGAAGCGAAAGUGACGGUAGCAGGAGAAGAAGCACCGGCCAACUACGUG